AUACGUAGGGUACUAGCGUUGUCCGGAUUUAUUGGGCGUAAAGGGCUUGUAGGUGGUUUGUCGCGUCUGUCGUGAAAUCCUGUGGCUUAACCAUGGGCUUGCGGUGGGUACGGGCAGGCUUGAGUGCGGUAGGGGAGACUGGAAUUCCUGGUGUAGCGGUGGAAUGCGCAGAUAUCAGGAGGAACACCGGUGGCGAAGGCGGGUCUCUGGGCCGUUACUGACGCUGAGGAGCGAAAGCGUGGGGAGCGAACAGGAUUAGAUACCCUGGUAGUCCAUGCUGUAAACGUUGGGCACUAGGUGUGGGGAUCGUUGUGGUUUCUGCGCCGUAGCUAACGCAUUAAGUGUCCCGCCUGGGGAGUACGGCCGCAAGGCUAAA
This 376-nucleotide ribosomal RNA is filed under the name uncultured bacterium. RNAcentral's name for it is "bacterial SSU rRNA". It matches the Rfam family "Bacterial small subunit ribosomal RNA", at positions 523 to 898 of the family's 1533-position model. The record is from RNAcentral.